Long non-coding RNA from Choloepus didactylus (southern two-toed sloth), 672 nucleotides. RefSeq lists it as uncharacterized. The record is from RefSeq and is a predicted model, not a curated record. NCBI's taxonomy places the organism in Eukaryota, Metazoa, Chordata, Mammalia, Pilosa, Megalonychidae. The transcript is spliced from 3 exons.
UCAAACAUUAUCUCCAGAAAGAGGAAAAGAUUGAAUAAAGUAGCGUUAGCAUAGAAAUCUCUUCUUUGAAUGAAUUCGUCAAGUCUGAGCCUCUGUCAUUGCACCUCCUCUUCUAUAGCUGGGGUGCCUUUUGUUAUUUUGCUGCAGAGCGAUCAGAAAGCAUUUCUCACCGACUGCAUCCGCUUCGCUGUACCGGGAAGGACACUGGAAAGUGGGGAAACUGAGACACCAGCAGGUUCAGGACCCUGCCCAAGGUCGCAGAACUAACUGGUAGUGGAGCUGGGAUUUGAACCCAGAAAUCAGACACCUGAGCCUUAUUCUUGAUUACUUUGCCACAGACAGAAAUGAAGACAAAAAACACCUGUGGGCCCACCAACCAGCACCAUCGCCACCAUGAACAUUUGCAUACAAUUUCUCCUGAGGUUGCAUUGACUUCCGGCUUCUGACCCCACCCCUUGCCCCUGUUAGGACUUUGUGGGAAUCUCGUCCAGCCUUGGCUUGGAGCCACGGGUCACCUCCACUGCAAGGCAUCCUGAGCACCCACCAUGACCCAGCGCGGAGUGGGCGUCUGGGGUCCAAGGACUCUGCAGGGCCACAGCCUUCCCAAAUGAGCCCUUACUGCGGGGACCCUCUGCGCUCCUGUGCUGAGAACAGCAGAGCCUUGGGAGAAAG